CGGUUCGCUUAUUCGUAAACAAACCGCCGGCGCGCGUGGACCGGGGCGCGACUGUAACCGCGAAACUCGCACCCGUCGAGGCGGCGAGCCAGCCUCGUUGGGACCACUGGCCAUGGUUCCAACAGGUACGGCGCGCGCCCCCUGGGAUGCGUCCCCUUUGUGUACGAAAUCAGAAGUACGAACAUGCUUGAACAAAGCCGUGCUUUAUCGUUCCCUAUCGUUAGUCCUUAGUUAACGUAAAGGAGUUGCAGUGGCAAACAGCAGCAGCAGUGACGUUACGUUUAGCGUUUUAAGAGAGCCUAGCAGCAAUCCCGUGUGUGUUGCGCUUAGUGUGUAAGAAGCGCACUGCAAAGCGUUAACUGUUCUAUGUUCCGUAACACUACGCAGUCUUUCCAAGUUCGCCAGGAGCUUUUAAACAGUGCCAAGUGCCGACCGACCAGUAGUGUGUCCCGCCCAAGUGAAGCAUUGAUUGAGCGGGAAACGUGAAGUGCAUCGUGGGAAGGAAUGUUCCCUUCGGGUGUAGUUACUGGACGAACAUGUGAGGGAUGACCAACCCACCGUAGUGAUCGCUCGUAUUAAUCGAUCGUGCCGAUCGGAUGUGCGAAUUUGUGCACCGUCUGCAGAAGCCGUCAUCAAGAUCCACCGGGAUAUCCUCCACCCAUCUUCGGCGUUUGGAGUGAGAGGAGGCUGGUCUGGCAGACUCUCGCGCUCAAAGAAGCCCAUGAAGCGGAUGUACAUCGUUAAUUUGGGAUAUUUUCAACGUUCUGAGCGAAGAAGAAGAAUACAUAAAAGAUAUCGUUUGUGGCAGCAGCAGCAGCAGCACCUAGCACGGAUGGUAAUCGAUUGUUUACGGUGCUACACUGGUGGAUCACCCUGGGGGUUGAUCGGAAGCUAGUGGUCAAAUCGUCGGUUAGAGCCGCCCGCAAUCGUGCCCAAACUGGAGCCCACCAUAGCAAAGACAGGGAACCGUACACCGGGAUUGGGUUUGCUUGCGGACGGAUCGAACGGACGAUCCGAAGCUGACCGAAAACUACUUCAUGGAAGGAGCUGCCACCAGAGAGAAUCUCUUCAGUAUGCUGCAUACGACGAUCGCGGACACACUACUUGGUGGUUCUACAGCACGGCAACAACACUACACUGCGUUAAUCCGCUGCGAGGCUCAUUAGGUUGAAGUUUCAGUAACGGAUCUACUGCAGCUUUCCUCCUAUAAGAACAGCUCUGUUUUACUAAUAUAGCAGCUUUUUUCUCCAUUUCUUCACAACAACAUGUCCUUGGUUGUCCUCGAACAAUUUCAAACAUGACCGUUACAAGUGAUGGAAAAACAAAAAGCGAGGUUUGUUUUUCCAUGCUUACACGCGAAAUGGGAGACUGCCCAUCGAGGACGAUCAGGACCAUUUUAAUUGUAUAGGGGAUAUAGAAUGUAAGCCACAAAUAUUGCUGGUUGAUAAAGAUACGAGUCGGUGAAAUGAAUGUUCACGCUUAAGUUUUCCCUUUUCACCGCGCUCCAAACACCGAAUCCAUUGCAUUAAACUGAUCGAGCCACACCGAGAACAUCCGAUGGAAAAGGGAAAGCUUAAGCGUUUCAUUCUCUUUGCACUCGUUUAAAUCUUUAGCAAUCAUCAAUACAAAAAUAAGGUUUCUCUGUUUUUUUUUUCUCUAGGAUUGAAGUUGAAGUUUGAGCAUGUUAGGCGAUGUUGUAUCAUAGUUUCUAUUGCGUAGCAGUAGUGAGACGCCAGGAGCCAGCUGGCGCCACGUUUUCUUCGGAUGUGUUUUUCGUUUUCCAUAUUUUCCAGCAAAAUGAUGGCUUUUGCUGAAGAAAAGAGAGGCAGGAACAUUCACAAAACAUUUGAUGCGAGGAUAUACUUUAGAAUGUAGAACGCAGCGUACAGCUGAGUUAUUUGCGAUCUUUUUAAAUGCUUAUCCACAAGAUACUACAAUUACUACUAUGCUUUGCUAAAUGGUCGGUGAUAGUGGACGAGGUGUGCACCGAUGAAUGCACACAUUGUUGCACCGAAUGGUGACUAAACAAUCGUUUUUUUUUUUAAUUGUUUGCUGAACAGCAACUACAAAUUAGUGGAUAGAAUGGUAUUAAUUGCCGACAUGUGAGGAGUUAACAACAACAACAACAAAAAAACCGGCAUGCCAAGGAUGGAGCAGAGCCCGUUGAAACACAACACAAAUGAUAAAAAACGGAAGAAUUUCAAACCCCGCAUUUAGAACGUAAGUGUACAUCAAGCUAGAAAAUGAUGUGAAGUAUACACAAAGGCAAAUAAAAGCAUAUAGUUUACAAAACCGGC
Molecule: long non-coding RNA, 2297 nt
Organism: Anopheles stephensi (Asian malaria mosquito)
Lineage: Eukaryota; Metazoa; Arthropoda; Insecta; Diptera; Culicidae
Exons: 2
Source: RefSeq, a predicted model, not a curated record